RNAcentral lists this ribosomal RNA (112 nucleotides) under Clostridia bacterium. The record is from RNAcentral. Lineage: Bacteria; Bacillati; Bacillota; Clostridia.
UGGUGUCGAUGACGCUGAGGGUACACCCGUUCCCAUACCGAACACGGAAGUUAAGCUCAGUCGUGCCGAAAAUACUUGGCUGGCGACGGCCUGGGAAAAUAGGAAGAUGCCA